This 406-nucleotide unclassified non-coding RNA is filed under the name uncultured Rhizophagus. RNAcentral's name for it is "sequence contains 28S rRNA gene". Lineage: Eukaryota; Fungi; Glomeromycota; Glomeromycetes; Glomerales; Glomeraceae. The record is from RNAcentral.
AGUUAAACAGUACGUGAAAUUGUUGAAAGGGAAACGAUUGAAGCCAGUCGUACCUUCGGGUAAUCAGCCUUUCGGGUGCGAUUCUGUGGGGUUUGAGGAGCUUAACACCUUCAUGCUUUGCAUAUUCGUGCUCUUGGGUGUACUUGCCCGUGUGGUUGGUUAACAUCAAUUUUGGUGGUCAUAAAAUGACUGGAGGAAUGUAGCUUCGAUCUCGUAUUGAAGUGUUAUAGCCUUCGGUAGAUGUGAUGAUCGAGAUUGAGGAUUGCAACGGAUACCCUUCGGGGCUACCUGUCUGAUCUCUGAUCGUUGCUCUGGUGCCGAAAGCUUGCUUACGGUUAUCAAAGUCGAUGGUCAAUAGGUUAGAAUGGGUUAAAUUCGUUAAGGAUGUUGACGUAAUGGCUUUAAA